This 77-nucleotide transfer RNA is filed under the name Paracoccus denitrificans. RNAcentral describes it as "tRNA-Met". It matches the Rfam family "tRNA". From Rfam's summary of the family: Transfer RNA (tRNA) molecules are approximately 80 nucleotides in length. Lineage: Bacteria; Pseudomonadati; Pseudomonadota; Alphaproteobacteria; Rhodobacterales; Paracoccaceae. The record is from RNAcentral. RNAcentral also lists the same sequence under 28 other names.
CGCGGGGUAGAGCAGCCCGGUAGCUCGUCAGGCUCAUAACCUGAAGGUCGCAGGUUCAAAUCCUGCCCCCGCAACCA